Mesocricetus auratus (golden hamster) is the source of this 434-nucleotide long non-coding RNA. RefSeq lists it as uncharacterized. The record is from RefSeq and is a predicted model, not a curated record. NCBI's taxonomy places the organism in Eukaryota, Metazoa, Chordata, Mammalia, Rodentia, Cricetidae. The transcript is spliced from 2 exons.
UCAGAAUUCUGCUUAACAGAGGACGUUUCCCCAGAGACCACGUCCUUACUAACCAUGUGUCCUCGGGAAUUAGUGAUGGGGAAAGACUAUUGGUGAAAGUUUACACAUCAGUUCACUGAAGAAGUAUGUGACAGUCAGCAAACAUGCGAGAUCACCCGAGUCUAGAGAGAACUUGUGGCAACUAUGGAGACCAAAGCCGAGUGGUCUGAGGGACGAGAACAGCUUUGUCUUGUUUUGGAUGCAUCAAAAGAUCAAGAUCCACUGGUCAUAAUCUUGGCAUUUUCAAACCCAGGGCUAGGAUGAAUUCUCUCACUUCCAGGGCCCCUACAGGGAGGUUUUUACCUUGUGAGCUUUGGCUUGCUUACCCAGUGAUGGGGCUAACCAUUAUAAGUCUUUGGGAUUUGAUAACAAAUUAAAGUGUCUGAUGGAAUUAA